Molecule: small RNA, 507 nt
Filed under: Pongo abelii (Sumatran orangutan)
Lineage: Eukaryota; Metazoa; Chordata; Mammalia; Primates; Hominidae
Description: processed transcript
Source: RNAcentral
ACCUGGGUAACGGGUCCCGGCUUUGGAAGCUCCCGCGGCGCCACGAUGGACCUCGAGGAGGCGGAAGAGUUUAAAGAACGCUGUACUCAGUGUGCUGCUGUCUCAUGGGGUCUUACUGAUGAAGGCAAAUAUUAUUGCACUAAUUGCCACAAUGUUACAGAGAGAUCUCAGGAAGUUACAAGCACUGAUCUUAUUCCUAAUACCCAAAUAAAAGCCCUCAACCGGGGGCUUAAAAAAAAAAGCAAUACUGAAAAAGGCUGGGAUUGGUAUGUGUGUGAAGGUUUCCAGUACAUUCUUUAUCAACAAGCAGAAGCCUUAAAGAACCUUGGAGUAGGCCCAGAGUUAAAGGGAAUGUCCUGUGUGUUAUUCACAAUUUGAGAACAAAAUCGUUUGGUGUAUGUACAUAACGUCUAUCAGGACUUGAGUUCCACAGAAUGCACUUUGGACAGUGAUAUGCUAAACCAGUCGUCCACCUGAGUGUGCAUCAGAAUCACCUGGAGUGCUUGA